AAUUCGAAGCAACGCGAAGAACCUUACCAGGUCUGACAUCCCGAUGCUAUUCUAGAGAUAGAAAGUUACUUCGGUACAUCGGUGACAGGUGGUGCAUGGUUGUCGUCAGCUCGUGUCGUGAGAUGUUGGGUUAAGUCCCGCAACGAGCGCAACCCCUAUUGUUAGUUGCCAUCAUUCAGUUGGGCACUCUAGCGAGACUGCCGGUAAUAAACCGGAGGAAGGUGGGGAUGACGUCAAAUCAUCAUGCCCCUUAUGACCUGGGCUACACACGCGCUACAAUGGUUGGUACAACGAGUUGCGAGUCGGUGACGGCGAGCUAAUCUCUUAAAGCCAAUCUCAGUUCGGAUUGUAGGCUGCAACUCGCCUACAUGAAGUCGGAAUCGCUAGUAAUCGCGGAUCAGCACGCCGCGGUCGAAUACGUUCCCGGGCCUU
Molecule: ribosomal RNA, 432 nt
Filed under: uncultured Streptococcus sp.
Lineage: Bacteria; Bacillati; Bacillota; Bacilli; Lactobacillales; Streptococcaceae
Description: bacterial SSU rRNA
Rfam family: Bacterial small subunit ribosomal RNA
Source: RNAcentral